Phyllopteryx taeniolatus (common seadragon) is the source of this 414-nucleotide long non-coding RNA. RefSeq lists it as uncharacterized. Lineage: Eukaryota; Metazoa; Chordata; Actinopteri; Syngnathiformes; Syngnathidae. The transcript has 4 exons. The record is from RefSeq and is a predicted model, not a curated record.
CAAAGAGGAGCAUGAGGAAGAGCAGCACAAUGGCGCAGAACAGCCCGUUGCUGCUGACGGCCACGGGAACCAUACCGUGGAUGAACGAGUACAUGAGCCAUGGCAGCGGCAAACUUUUAACACACAGCAAGAAAAAUAUAUAGAGAUAUUAAAGGUGGUUACACUCUUGGGCCACCGCACACCAACCGACACGGCCGAAGGCGACUCUUCUAAGAGUACGCUUCCAACGUAGCUGACCUGAUGGGCCCACCACAUCAUGAGAUAAGAGAAGAUAGCAAUCCACAGAAUGGAGUCCAGGAAGUAUUUGAAUGUGGCGUUGCCUGUUUGCGGACGUCAGGGACGGUGAGCCACAGAGGGAAGACGAUGGGCAGCAGGAUGAGGUAAGUGACUUGCUUCCGUCGCGUGUCGGGCCAC